AACAACAACAACAAACCCAGUGUAUUCCCACCUAGUGGGGGCUGGAGGGGGUAAGAUGUACGCAGUCCAUACCUCUACCUCUGAAGAAGUAGAAAGGCUGUUUCCAAUUGAUCCCCGGCACAAGGCACGAGAUACCACACAAACACAUAGUAAAGCACAGCACAAGAUUACAUAACAUAAAUACGGCACCCAUAAGUAAUAUAAAAUAGAGGAAAGCACACAGAUUCGUAAUAA
This 234-nucleotide long non-coding RNA is filed under the name Capsicum annuum. Its description in RNAcentral is "long non-coding RNA (CANN_LNC018630)". The record is from RNAcentral. Lineage: Eukaryota; Viridiplantae; Streptophyta; Magnoliopsida; Solanales; Solanaceae.